UUGGUACUCCCUCCGUCCGGAAAUACUUGUUGCACAAAUAGAUAAAAUUGGAUGCAUCUAGAACUGAAAUAUGCCUAGAUACAUCCAUUUCCCCGACAAGUAUUUCCGGACGGAGGGAGUAUUUG
This is a non-coding RNA of Triticum aestivum (bread wheat), 125 nucleotides long. Lineage: Eukaryota; Viridiplantae; Streptophyta; Magnoliopsida; Poales; Poaceae. The record is from Rfam.